UUCUUUAAGAUAAUAAAUUAAAGUAAAACCUGCUCAAUGAAGGUUUCUUAAAUAGCCGCAGUAUACUGUGCUAAGGUAGCAUAAUAACUUGCUUUCUAAUUAAAAGAUAGAAUGAAGGGUUAAACAUUUAAAACAAGUUUCUAUAAAAUAAACUAAAUUAAGCUAAAAGUAAAAACUCUUUUAAUAAAAAGUGGGACGAUAAGACCCUGAUAAACUUAACAUUCAGUUGGGGAAACUAAAUAAUAAUAAUUUAUAAAUCCAUUAACACAACUUAAUUAAAAUAAAAGGAUAGUUACUACAGGGAUAACAGCGCWAAUUUCUUUUUAGAGACCUCAUCAAAAAAGAAGAUUACGACCUCGAUGUUGAAUUAAUUAACCUAAAUAAACGUAAUAGUUAUAAAAGGUAGUCUGUUCGACUAUUAAAAAAUU
RNAcentral lists this ribosomal RNA (428 nucleotides) under Pholcus debilis. Its description in RNAcentral is "partial 16S ribosomal RNA". The record is from RNAcentral. Lineage: Eukaryota; Metazoa; Arthropoda; Arachnida; Araneae; Pholcidae.